UACAGGUGCUGCAUGGCUGUCGGUCAGCUCGUGUCAUGAGAUGUUGGGUUAAGUCCCGCAACGAGCGCAACCCUCGCCCUUAGUUGCCAGCAUUUAGUUGGGCACCCUAAGGGGACUGCCGGUGAUAAGCCGAGAGGAAGGUGGGGAUGACGUCAAGUCCUCAUGGCCCUUACGGGCUGGGCUACACACGUGCUACAAUGGUGGUGACAGUGGGCAGCGAGCACGCGAGUGUGAGCUAAUCUCCAAAAGCCAUCUCAGUUCGGAUUGCACUCUGCAACUCGAGUGCAUGAAGUUGGAAUCGCUAGUAAUCGCGGAUCAGCAUGCCGCGGUGAAUACGUUCCCGGGCCUU
Molecule: ribosomal RNA, 349 nt
Filed under: uncultured Ochrobactrum sp.
Lineage: Bacteria; Pseudomonadati; Pseudomonadota; Alphaproteobacteria; Hyphomicrobiales; Brucellaceae
Description: bacterial SSU rRNA
Rfam family: Bacterial small subunit ribosomal RNA
Source: RNAcentral